GAUGAAGAACGUAGCGAAAUGCGAUAAGUAGUGUGAAUUGCAGAAUUCAGUGAAUCAUCGAAUCUUUGAACGCACAUUGCGCCCCUUGGUAUUCCAUGGGGCAUGCCUGUUCGAGCGUCAUUUGUACCUUCAAGCUUUGCUUGGUGUUGGGUGUUUGUCUCGCCUUUGCGUGUAGACUCGCCUUAAAAUAAUUGGCAGCUGGCGUAUUGAUUUCGGAGCGCAGUACAUCUCGCGCUUUGCACUCAUAACGACAGCGUCCAAAAGUACAUUUUACACUCUUGACCUCGGAUCAGGUAGGGAUACCCGCUGAACUUAAGCAUAUCAAUAAGCGGAGGA
This 336-nucleotide unclassified non-coding RNA is filed under the name soil metagenome. Its description in RNAcentral is "partial contains 5.8S ribosomal RNA, internal transcribed spacer 2, and large subunit ribosomal RNA". The stretch from base 1 to 120 matches the Rfam family "5.8S ribosomal RNA", at positions 35 to 154 of the family's 154-position model. The record is from RNAcentral.